Molecule: ribosomal RNA, 321 nt
Filed under: uncultured Pseudomonadota bacterium
Lineage: Bacteria; Pseudomonadati; Pseudomonadota
Description: bacterial SSU rRNA
Rfam family: Bacterial small subunit ribosomal RNA
Source: RNAcentral
AUUAAACGCUGGCGGCAUGCCUUACACAUGCAAGUCGAACGGCAGCACGGGGGCAACCCUGGUGGCGAGUGGCGAACGGGUGAGUAAAGCAUCGGAACGUGCCCUGGAGUGGGGGAUAACGUAGCGAAAGUUACGCUAAUACCGCAUAUUCUGUGAGCAGGAAAGCAGGGGAUCGCAAGACCUUGCGCUUUGGGAGCGGCCGAUGUCGGAUUAGCUAGUUGGUGGGGUAAAGGCCUACCAAGGCGACGAUCCGUAGCGGGUCUGAGAGGAUGAUCCGCCACACUGGGACUGAGACACGGCCCAGACUCCUACGGGAGGCUG